AUCAACACAGAACCAAGAAACACAAAGAACAAUACAAUUUAAUAUCAAUGCCAAUUAUCACUCAACGCCGUUAUAUGGGGAUCGUGGUUUUAUGCUUUGUUUUCUUACUCAUUUCAGGACCGACAACUGCUCUCGUGGGAUCUUGUUUGGGGACAUGUCAAAAUUUUCCAAAUUGUGAGCGGGCUUGCCAUGCUAAAGGAUUUCCGAAGGGAGGUGCUUGUAUACCUCUUUCUCGUUUUGCUUCAGCCUGUUGUUGUAAAUAAUAGGGGUUGAGAGGUCUUAAGUUUCUAUGAUAAGGAAAAUAAUUAAUCCAUAAGGAAAAAAGUCUCAUGUUUUAUUAGUGGAAGUAUAACAAUAAAAUUAAAUAAUAACUACUCGUAAUUUCACGCUUGGA
Jatropha curcas is the source of this 394-nucleotide long non-coding RNA. RefSeq lists it as uncharacterized. NCBI's taxonomy places the organism in Eukaryota, Viridiplantae, Streptophyta, Magnoliopsida, Malpighiales, Euphorbiaceae. The record is from RefSeq and is a predicted model, not a curated record.